GAUGAAGAACGUAGCGAAAUGCGAUAAGUAAUGCGAAUUGCAGAAUCCGUGAGUCAUCGAAUCUUUGAACGCACAUUGCGCCCUCUGUAUUCCGGAGGGCAUGCCUGUUCGAGCGUCAUUAUCACCCCUCAAGCCCGGCUUGUUGUUGGAUGCAGCGCUUAUCCCGCUCCUCCCAAAGAUAAUGACGGCGUCUGCGACGACUCCUGUACACUGAGCUUUCGGGCACGUACACGGCUAGAAGUCCAGACCCGGUCGCCGUCCCCCCCGCGGGGACACCCAUUACCACAAGGUUGACCUCGGAUCAGGUAGGAAUACCCGCUGAACUUAAGCAUAUCAAUAAGCGGAGGA
Molecule: unclassified non-coding RNA, 348 nt
Filed under: soil metagenome
Description: partial contains 5.8S ribosomal RNA, internal transcribed spacer 2, and large subunit ribosomal RNA
Rfam family: 5.8S ribosomal RNA (bases 1-118)
Source: RNAcentral